GACCUAACCCGUGGGUUAUCCAUGGCAAGGUCGACAAACCCCAACGAAGACACUGAACCCCGCGUUCAGCCGCUCUUCGUUGGGUUAUGCCGGGAAACUGGCAUAGGGCCGCAAGGCCC
Molecule: small RNA, 119 nt
Filed under: unclassified sequences
Description: LOOT RNA
Rfam family: LOOT RNA
About the family: Latescibacteria, OD1/Parcubacteria, OP11, TM7.
Source: Rfam by way of RNAcentral